AGAGCGAACGCUGGCGGCAGGCUUAACACAUGCAAGUCGAGCGGAUGUAGCAAUACAUCAGCGGCAGACGGGUGAGUAACACGUGGGAACGUACCUUUUGGUUCGGAACAACACAGGGAAACUUGUGCUAAUACCGGAUAAGCCCUUACGGGGAAAGAUUUAUCGCCGAAAGAUCGGCCCGCGUCUGAUUAGCUAGUUGGUGAGGUAAUGGCUCACCAAGGCGACGAUCAGUAGUUGGUCUGAGAGGAUGAUCAGCCACAUUGGGACUGAGACACGGCCCAAACUCCUACGGGAGGCAGCAGUGGGAAUAUUGGACAAUGGGCGCAAGCCUGAUCCAGCCAUGCCGCGUGAGUGAUGAAGGCCCUAGGGUUGUAAAGCUCUUUGUGCGGGAAGAUAAUGACGGUACCGCAAGAAUAACGCCCGGCUAACUUCGCGCCAGCAGCCGC
This 446-nucleotide ribosomal RNA is filed under the name uncultured bacterium. RNAcentral describes it as "SSU rRNA". It matches the Rfam family "Bacterial small subunit ribosomal RNA", at positions 26 to 518 of the family's 1533-position model. The record is from RNAcentral.